Molecule: transfer RNA, 77 nt
Filed under: Marinilabiliales bacterium
Lineage: Bacteria; Pseudomonadati; Bacteroidota; Bacteroidia; Marinilabiliales
Description: tRNA-Met
Rfam family: tRNA
About the family: Transfer RNA (tRNA) molecules are approximately 80 nucleotides in length. Their secondary structure includes four short double-helical elements and three loops (D, anti-codon, and T loops). Further hydrogen bonds mediate the characteristic L-shaped molecular structure. tRNAs have two regions of fundamental functional importance: the anti-codon, which is responsible for specific mRNA codon recognition, and the 3' end, to which the tRNAs corresponding amino acid is attached (by aminoacyl-tRNA synthetases). tRNAs cope with the degeneracy of the genetic code in two manners: having more than one tRNA (with a specific anti-codon) for a particular amino acid; and 'wobble' base-pairing, i.e. permitting non-standard base-pairing at the 3rd anti-codon position.
Source: RNAcentral
GGGCUCAUAGCUCAGCUGGUUAGAGCACUUGACUCAUAAUCAAGGUGUCCCAGGUUCAAGUCCUGGUGGGCCCACAA